GACGAACGCUGGCGGCGUGCUUAACACAUGCAAGUCGAACGCUGAAGCUUGGUGCUUGCACUGGGUGGAUGAGUGGCGAACGGGUGAGUAAUACGUGUGUAACCUGCCCUUGACUCUGGGAUAAGCCUGGGAAACUGGGUCUAAUACUGGAUACGACAUGUCACCGCAUGGUGGUGUGUGGAAAGGGUUUUACUGGUUUUGGAUGGGCUCACGGCCUAUCAGCUUGUUGGUGGGGUAGUGGCUCACCAAGGCGACGACGGGUAGCCGGCCUGAGAGGGUGACCGGCCACACUGGGACUGAGACACGGCCCAGACUCCUACGGGAGGCAGCAGUGGGGAAUAUUGCACAAUGGGCGGAAGCCUGAUGCAGCGACGCCGCGUGAGGGAUGACGGCCUUCGGGUUGUAAACCUCUUUCAGCACGGAAGAAGCGAAAGUGACGGUACGUGCAGAAGAAGCGCCGGCUAACUACGUG
This 472-nucleotide ribosomal RNA is filed under the name uncultured bacterium. RNAcentral describes it as "partial 16S ribosomal RNA". It matches the Rfam family "Bacterial small subunit ribosomal RNA", at positions 28 to 507 of the family's 1533-position model. The record is from RNAcentral.